RNAcentral lists this ribosomal RNA (365 nucleotides) under uncultured eukaryote. Its description in RNAcentral is "partial 18S ribosomal RNA". It matches the Rfam family "Eukaryotic small subunit ribosomal RNA", at positions 592 to 975 of the family's 1831-position model. The record is from RNAcentral.
CAAUAGCGUAUAUUAACGUUGUUGCAGUUAAAAAGCUCGUAGUUGGAUUUCUGGAGGGAGCGUCGGCCCGUAUUUACGAGUGCGUGACGUCUCUGUCCAUCCUUGCGGGAAGGCACGGCAUUGAUUUGUUGUGUCGGAUCGCAUCAUUUACUGUGAAAAAAUUAGAGUGUUCAAAGCAGGCUUUCGCUUGAAUACAUUAGCAUGGAAUAAUAAGAUAGGACUUCGGUGCUAUUUUGUUGGUUGAGCCUAAAGUAAUGAUUAAUAGGGAUAGUUGGGGGCACCUGUAUUGCGUUGUCAGAGGUGAAAUUCUUGGAUUUACGCAAGACAAACAGCUGCGAAAGCGUCUGCCAAGGAUGUUUUCAUUA